CAGUAACGGCGAGUGAAGCGGCAACAGCUCAAAUUUUAAAGCUGGCGUCUUCGACGCCCGCGUUGUAAUUUGGAGAGGCAUCUUCGGUUUGGGCGCCAGCCUAUGUUCCUUGGAACAGGACGUCACAGAGGGUGAGAAUCCCGUGCUUGGCUGGCUGUCCCUUGCCAUGUGAAGUGCCUUCGACGAGUCGAGUUGUUUGGGAAUGCAGCUCAAAAUGGGUGGUAAAUUCCAUCUAAAGCUAAAUAUUGGCGGGAGACCGAUAGCGCACAAGUAGAGUGAUCGAAAGAUGAAAAGCACUUUGAAAAUAGAGUUAAAAAGUACGUGAAAUUGUUGAAAGGGAAGCGCUUGAGACCAGACUCGGCCGGAGAUGAUCAGCCGUCCUUCUGGGCGGUGCACUUGUCUCCGGUCGGGCCAGCAUCGGUUGAGACGGCGGGAUAAAGGCCCGGGGAAUGUGGCUCCUUUCGGGGAGUGUUAUAGCCCCGGACGCAAUGCCGCCAGCCUCGACCGAGGACCGCGCUUUUUGCUAGGAUGCUGGCGUAAUGGUCUUCAGCGACCCGUCUUGAAACACGGACCAAGGAGUCUAACAUCUAUGCGAGUGUUUGGGUGUCAAACCCUUGCGCGUAAUGAAAGUGAACGGAGGUGGGAACCCCCUCGCGGGGCGCACCAUCGACCGGUCCUGAUGUCUUCGGAUGGAUCUGAGUAGGAGCAUAGCUGUUGGGACCCGAAAGAUGGUGAACUAUGCCUGAAUAGGGUGAAGCCAGAGGAAACUCUGGUGGAGGCUCGCAGCGGUUCUGACGUGCAAAUCGAUCGUCAAAUUUGGGUAUAGGGGCGAAAG
Molecule: ribosomal RNA, 835 nt
Filed under: Paragyromitra infula
Lineage: Eukaryota; Fungi; Ascomycota; Pezizomycetes; Pezizales; Discinaceae
Description: LSU rRNA
Rfam family: Eukaryotic large subunit ribosomal RNA
Source: RNAcentral